UCCUACUUGUGACUUUUACUAAUAAAAUUAA
Molecule: non-coding RNA, 31 nt
Filed under: Rattus norvegicus (Norway rat)
Lineage: Eukaryota; Metazoa; Chordata; Mammalia; Rodentia; Muridae
Source: RNAcentral